RNA transcript from Lycium barbarum (goji berry), 1548 nucleotides. It is a transcript of the gene named histone-lysine N-methyltransferase ASHR2, with no coding region annotated. The transcript is spliced from 3 exons. The record is from RefSeq and is a predicted model, not a curated record. Lineage: Eukaryota; Viridiplantae; Streptophyta; Magnoliopsida; Solanales; Solanaceae.
UUUAAACUUGUAAGUUUUUUCCCAUGAGAGACAAAACCAGUAGACACUAUCAUCUCUAUCAUCUCCAUACCUAAAACCCUAAACCCCAAUCAAGAACAUCCCAAUUGCCGCACAUCUUUGAAAAAACAAAAAUGGAGAACACCUGCAUAAUAUCUCCAAACCCAUUAUUAAAGAUUGCAGAAAUACAAGGUAGAGGAAGAGCACUUGUUUCAACUCAACCCUUAAAACCAGGACAAAUAAUCCUCAAAGAUACACCUCUACUUCUUUACCCUGCCACCCCUUUAACAAAAAACAAUGCUUUUUGCUCAAAUUGCUAUAAAUUAAUCCUCCAAUCUCCAAUCCCAUGCCCAAGAUGCAACUUUUCGCUCUUUUGUACCUCUAAUUGUCAAUCUUUAGCUUUAUCUUCUUCACAUACUCCUUGGGUUUGCCAAUCUUUAACUCGUUUUCGCGAUAACUUAUACAACAACAUCAACAUAUCCAGUGUAAUUCCACAAGUAGGGUCUGGGGAGGUUAGAAUGUACACAGACCUUACCCCUACUUUGUCUUUAGACCAACAAAUUCAAGUUUUUUUCCUUAUCUCAGCUUAUAACUUGUCAGUCAUUAAUCCUUCUUCUUUUCGUGUUUUGUUAUCCCUUCAAGGCGAUCCAUCGUUUGUGUCGGAAAAUGAUGUUGUUUUGCUUCACUCUGUUGUUAGUACGAUUUGCCCGUCUACGAAUCUUGGUGAAUUUGGGUUUUCUAAAGAGCUUACUGCAGCUCUUUUGGCUAAGGAUAAAGUAAAUGCAUUUGGGUUGAUGGAACCUUAUGAUAAGGAUAGAGAAAGGGGUGUUAGAGCUUAUGGGAUUUAUCCUGUGGCGUCGUUUUUCAAUCACGAUUGUCUACCAAAUGCGUGUAGGUUUGAGUAUGUUGAUAUUGAUGUUAGUAAUGGGAGUAAUAAUACUGAUAUGAUUGUUAGGGUGAUUCAUGAUGUUCCUGAGGGAAGAGAGAUUUGUUUGAGUUAUUUUCCUGUUAAUUUUAAGUAUUCGGAGAGGCAGCAAAGGUUGAAGGAGGAUUAUGGUUUUACUUGCAAUUGUGAUCGGUGUGUUGUCGAGGCUAAUUGGUCUGAUCAAGAGGAUGAUGAUGCCAUGGAUAAUGAGGGCGAAGAAAUUGAAGAGGAUGAGGAUGAAGCGAUGGAGGAAGAUGUGGAUGUGGAUGAUGAAGUGAUUGGAAAUGGAGAGGUGGAGGAGAGGGAUCAAGAUUUCCCUCACGCGUAUUUCUUCAUUAGAUACAUGUGUAAUCAAGAGAAUUGCGGGGGUACAUUGGCUCCAUUGCCUCCUUCUGAUGCAUCUACAUCCACGGUUAUGGAAUGCAAUGUUUGUGGUCAUCUGAGCAAAUCUGAUGAGCUUUAAGGUUCGCGCUCGGGACCAUUGAAGACAUAUGUGUUGCAGUUAACGACUCUAAGGCUUCUGUUUUUGUGAAUGGGAAGUUUUGCAAAGACCCAAAGCUUGCAAAAGCGGAUGAUUUCUUUGCUUCAGGUCUUAACGUUAGUGGAAAUUCAGUGCCUCAGUUAGG